CCCGGGCGACGACGGGUCGACGUAACCGGUACGUUAGUCGAACCUAACCCUAACCUAUACAACGUAGGGGGAUAACACUGAGAAAUUGGUACUAAUACCCCAUAAUAUCUCAUGCGGCAUCGCAUGGGGUUGAAAACUCCGGUGGUUGAUGAUGGGCAUGCGUUGUAUUAGCUGGUUGGUGAGGUAACGGCUCACCAAGGCGACGAUACAUAGGGGGACUGAGAGGUUAACCCCCCACAUUGGUACUGAGACACGGACCAAACUCCUACGGGAGGCAGCAG
RNAcentral lists this ribosomal RNA (281 nucleotides) under uncultured bacterium. RNAcentral's name for it is "partial 16S ribosomal RNA". It matches the Rfam family "Bacterial small subunit ribosomal RNA", at positions 79 to 354 of the family's 1533-position model. The record is from RNAcentral.